Molecule: long non-coding RNA, 528 nt
Filed under: Vigna radiata
Lineage: Eukaryota; Viridiplantae; Streptophyta; Magnoliopsida; Fabales; Fabaceae
Description: long non-coding RNA (VRAD_LNC000326)
Source: RNAcentral
AAUAGAAACCAAAUAAAUAUUAACAUGGGAAUUCCAACUGUGUUAGCUUUGCCAUAUGCAGCACAAGGGCAUGUGAACCCCAUGAUGACAUUCUCACAGAAGCUGGUUGAGAAUGGAUGCAAAGUAAUUUUUGUUAACACAGACUUUAACCACAGGAGAGUGGUGAAUUCUAUGGAGCAAAAAGAUGGUUCAAGCCCUGAUGAAGAAUCACUGCUGAAGUUGGUAUCAAUCCCUGAUGGUUUAGGACCUGAUGAUGACAGAAACGAUCAGGCCAAGCUGUGUGAAGCCAUUCCAAAAACCAUGCCAGAAGCACUUGAGAAACUCAUAGAGGAUAUUCAUUCGAAAGGUGAGAAUAAAAUCAACUUCAUUGUUGCAGAUGUGUGCAUGGCUUGGGCUUUGGAUGUUGGGAGGAAAAUCGGAAUCAAAGGAGCUGUGUUGUGUCCAGCAUCAGCAGCUAUUUUCACCUUGCUGCACAGCGUUCCUAUGCUUAUUCAUGAUGGCAUUGUAGACUCUGAUUUAGGUAACAAU